AUGGGCCAUGACUCAUUCGGGGGGCGAUUUGGAGAUUCGUGGCAUCUCCUUGUUAGUAUUUUACAUUUUUGCAUAGCUUAUUUAACAGACUUGUUAGGCAGGAAAGGCAAAUUCCUCUAUCAUCCCACCACUUGGGAGUUAGUAACACCAUCCCUCUUAAAGAUUUAUCAGAACUAUUUAUCUUAUUGUCAGGUAGAGAAGCAGUUCCUUCAGAAAAAGAUGGAUCAUUCAAAUUCAUCAUUUUCUGAGGGAAUUUUCUUCUCUUUCAAAAAAAUUUAUUUUUAGAAAAUAUAAAAAUCCUAAAAAAUUGAGGAAGAAAAAUAGUCAUCACUUGGUUAUUCUCCAAUACAAGUGGAAGGCUAAACAUGAUGAGAUUUUGCCAUGUAUCUUCAAGUCGUGUCAUUGCAUUUUUCAUUCUCUCAGUAUCAUUCAGUCAUUAGCAUGAUGCAUUAAACUCAGUUUGAAGAGAAUCAGAGUUCUUUUCCAGGAAAAGGUAGCACAAAAUUUGAACUCUCAACUCUUGUUGCACCUCCACUAUGAGGAUAGAGUUGGAAAUUUUGGAGGAGGGUUAUUUAUUAUCAAUAAAAAUUUUAUGUAGAUAUAUAAAGUUUUUUACUAUAAAGAUUCAUUUACCUAAAAAAAG
This 643-nucleotide long non-coding RNA is filed under the name Androctonus crassicauda. Lineage: Eukaryota; Metazoa; Arthropoda; Arachnida; Scorpiones; Buthidae. The record is from RNAcentral.